ACUCCUACGGGAGGCAGCAGUGGGGAAUCUUGGACAAUGGGCGCAAGCCUGAUCCAGCCAUGCCGCGUGAGUGAUGAAGGCCCUAGGGUCGUAAAGCUCUUUCGCCUGUGAUGAUAAUGACAGUAGCAGGUAAAGAAACCCCGGGCUAACUCCGUGCCAGCAGCCGCGGUAAUACGGGAGGGGGGUUAGCGUUGUUCGGAAUUACUGGGCGUAAAGCGCGCGUAGGCGGACUAUUAAGUCAGAGGUGAAAUCCCGGGGCUCAACCCCGGAACUGCCUUUGAUACUGGUAGUCUAGAGUUCGAGAGAGGUGAGUGGAAUUCCGAGUGUAGAGGUGAAAUUCGUAGAUAUU
Molecule: ribosomal RNA, 349 nt
Filed under: uncultured bacterium
Lineage: Bacteria
Description: bacterial SSU rRNA
Rfam family: Bacterial small subunit ribosomal RNA
Source: RNAcentral